UUUCCGGUUGAUCCCGCCGCCGGACACCGCUAUCAAGUUCCGACUAAGCCAUGCGAGUCAAGGUAUCGUAAGAUGCCGGCAAACUGCUCAGUAACACGUGGAUAAUCUAACCUUGAGUAAGGGAUAACCUCGGGAAACUGAGGAUAAUACCUUAUAAUUGCUUAAAACUGGAAUGUUUAAGCAAUAAAAGUUCCGACGCUCAAGGAUGAGUCUGCGACCUAUCAGGUAGUAGGUGGUGUAAUGGACCACCUAGCCUCAGACGGGUACGGGCCCUGGGAGGGGUAGCCCGGAGAUGGACUCUGAGACAUCAGUCCAGGCCCUACGGGGCGCAGCAGGCGCGAACACUGUGCAAUGCGCGAAAGCGCGACACGGGGAGCUUGAGUGUCUUGGCAUAGCCAAGACUUUUCUCAUUCCUAUAAAGCAUGAGGAAUAAGUGCUGGGUAAGACGGGUGCCAGCCGCCGCGGUAACACCCGCAGCUCGAGUGGUGGUCACUUUUAUUGAGCCUAAAGCGUUCGUAGCCGGCUCUGUAAAUCUUCAGACAAAUUCUUCUGCUUAACGGAAGAUCCUCUGGAGAGACUGCAGAGCUAGGGACCGGGUGAGGUUGAAGGUACUUCUGGGGUAGGGGUAAAAUCCUGUAAUCCUGGAAGGACGACCGGUGGCGAAGGCGUUCAACUAGAACGGAUCCGACGGUGAGGAACGAUGGCUAGGGGAGCAAACCGGAUUAGAUACCCGGGUAGUCCUAGCUGUAAACACUGCCCACUUGGUGUUGCUUCUCCGAUUAAGGGGGAGCAGUGCCGGAGCGAAGGUGUUAAGUGGGCCGCUUGGGGAGUAUGGUCGCAAGGCUGAAACUUAAAGGAAUUGGCGGGGGAGCACCGCAACGGGAGGAAUGUGCGGUUUAAUUGGAUUCAACGCCGGG
This 917-nucleotide ribosomal RNA is filed under the name uncultured archaeon. Its description in RNAcentral is "bacterial SSU rRNA". It matches the Rfam family "Archaeal small subunit ribosomal RNA", at positions 1 to 922 of the family's 1478-position model. The record is from RNAcentral.